GUCCUUUCUUCGGCAGCACAGACGUUAAAUCUGGAAAAAUAUAGAGAAGAUUGGAAGAGCAAGGAUGAUAUGUCAAUUCGUAAAGAAUAUCAUAUAUUC
Aotus nancymaae (Ma's night monkey) is the source of this 99-nucleotide small nuclear RNA. NCBI's taxonomy places the organism in Eukaryota, Metazoa, Chordata, Mammalia, Primates, Aotidae. The record is from Ensembl.